GUGAAUGUUCUGAUAGUUGCGUCGUCGCACGGCCUCGUGUGGCAGAGGUGAACGGCUUGUGGUGGUAAGGGUGAACGGGUUGAGCGUUGCAUGUCCAAAAAAUUGGUUUUAUUUGACAACACGAAAACAUAAAAAGGAUGAUUUCUGUUUCAUAAUUUAACUCAAGAAGCAGUACCUCUAGCUAUGGAAGAUUACUGAGCCAAAUGCCCAUUCCGUGGCUACAAAAAACUGAUUAUUUUGUUUUUCUUAGUGGUGCCACUACCUUCAGAUUAGAAGGACAUACAUAAUACUCAUCCGCCGAACUGCACAUAUCUUUUACAUCAUUUUCAUGGCCUAAUAAUACAUCCAUCUCAUUUAUUCAGUUUAUCGGUUACCAAAAAGUAUCAGCUAUCAGUCCACAAAGAGCAUCAACUAUCAGUUCACAAAAAUAUGAAACAUCACAGGAACAUAAAAAGAAUGUUUAUUAGUUCACAAACCUAUCAGCAAUAGUAGUCCUGCGGCUCCAGUGCAGCCGCCAUUGUUGGUUUUUCUUCUUAAAAUACACACUGAACUGCUGUAACAAAAAAGAAACUUUAAAGCACAAGAUUUAGCAAGAUGAACCACUAGUCUACUAACCAGAGA
This 621-nucleotide long non-coding RNA is filed under the name Triticum aestivum (bread wheat). RNAcentral's name for it is "long non-coding RNA (TAES_LNC006971)". The record is from RNAcentral. Lineage: Eukaryota; Viridiplantae; Streptophyta; Magnoliopsida; Poales; Poaceae.